Columba livia (rock pigeon) is the source of this 4497-nucleotide long non-coding RNA. RefSeq lists it as uncharacterized. NCBI's taxonomy places the organism in Eukaryota, Metazoa, Chordata, Aves, Columbiformes, Columbidae. The record is from RefSeq and is a predicted model, not a curated record. The transcript is spliced from 7 exons.
AGGCCUCUGAUCCCUCUAGCCAUGUUCCUACCCAAAGGCUUGACAGCUGCAAGAGUUAUUUCUCCACAUGUUUAGAGUGCAAAUAAAUGCCUAGGUUAGAAUGAGAAAUGUGGUUUGGGCCCUACAGGUAAAUCAGAGCAAGUCUAUGGAGUGGCAUUUGCUCUCCUUGGUAGCUGCGGGUGAACUCUUUGUUUGGAGCGUGGGGAAGGGGGCCAGUCUGUGAGGAGAUAAAAGCUAGGCUUGACUAAUCAGGGCAGAAAUAAACCAAGAGAUUUCAAUCUCUCUUUUUUUUUUUUUUUUUUUUCUUAAGGGAGCAACACUCUCCAUUUGGCUCCCACUCAAAAAAAAGAGGAUGCUUGAAUACAGUUACUUUUAGGAACUGCAGUGAUAUGUAGUGUACAUUAAAGCAUAGUGAUAUGCUAAGAAAUAGAAAAAAAGAAACCUCUUUUUUCCCCUUAGAUUGUUAGGGAAGUGGUUCUACCAGGAAAAAUAUGUUGUGUAAUUAAAAAAAAAUAUAUUAAGAGAAAACAUUUGUUUUCUUUGGUUUAUAUAGAAAGUCUUGAGCUAUGAGAAUAAAAGCCAAAAUCCUAGGAGUUUUCAUGAAAUUCAGUUAAGGAAAAAAACCCAAACCCGUUAAGGAUGGUUGUUUCCCCAAAUGCAAAACAUCAGGGAGGAAUCUGAAAAGAGCUUUACUUUCUGUGCAAAAUCUCCAUUGUUGCUUGGCAAACAAUGGGAGCUCUGGGCGACUGGAAGGCUGUGAGAAUGAAUAGUGAAUCCGCAGGAUGUGUGCGGGUCAGUGCUUGGGGUCUCUGUCCUAAAGCCCCUUUCUCAGCUUGCCACAAUGAAGUAGCACAAGGUUUAGUCUUUCCUGGGUCACCGGCCAUCUUCUAUUAUUCAACACUUCACAACAAAAAACACUUAUUAAUCAGCGCUGACCAGAGGCCCCUUUUGAAACAAGAGAAGGGGAGAAAGAGAGGUGAGAGAGAGAGAGAAAAGAAGAUUGAAAAACCCUGAGCAGACCCUCCCAAUACAAGAGCAACCAUAGGCACUUUCUCAACUGGCCAAAGAGAUUGUUUUUUUUCUUUUUUGCCACAACAAAGUUUCCAAUCAGGUCAGAGAGGACUGGACUUUCCCCCCUACCCCCACCCCUGUUUUCCCUCUCACUUUCUUUCCUCCUUGCUCUGAAGAUGAUGGAGACUUUGUUUUGCAAAGACAGCAACUAUUGAAUCCCCUGUGGAUUACCUGAGAAAAUGAAAUUGUUCUCUCAAGAAAAAAAUUAGUCCACAAGAAAGCUGGCAAAGCAAAGUGGACUUGGUGUGACUGCAGCUUCUCUCACAGCCUCUGAGGACAGAGGGGACAAUGGCUACACUGACAUGAGAAGAUGCAGUGGGAGACGGGGGCCCAGCUACUUUGGGAAACCAGCCAGUUUUUCACAACCAAAGAGUCUCAGGAGAGGACCUUGCUAGUCGUCCCUGCAAACUGAGGCCUAGUGAGAGACUGAAUCCAGCUCUGAUUGGCUGCAGAGUCUAAUCCAGGACUUUGGUUGCCGGCUCUGCAGUUGCUGAAACUUUCAAGAUUGGUUUUGUAUAUUUUGUAUUAUUUUCUCUAUUCUUAUUAGUAGCAUUAGUAAAACAUCUUUAAUUUUUUCCAACCCUCUUCUCUCUGUCCUUCUUUUCCUCCCAAUCGCCUCUUCUUAGUGGAAAGGGGGGAGAGGGAGGGGCAAAAAGGGGGAAGUGGGGGGGGGGGGGGAGAGGGGGUUAACAAUACAUCUGCCAGGGUUUUAUUGUCAUCCCGCAAUCUUAACCCUCGACAGUUUACUAUAAAGUUUUUUUCUUGAGCUGUCUAAAAUAUAUUUAAGUACCUCUCCAGCACAGCUCUGGUCACCUGCAGUUGUCUAAAAAUGGGUCUUGGUCACACCACUUUUUCAAUAUAAAUCAAAACUGUCUCUAAAUCUGGAAAUCGUUAUUUUCAAAGGAACAUAAAGGACUUAGGCAUCUAUAAUCCUUGGACUUUUACUAGGAAUAACAGUGCUGGGUUUGUGGAAGGGGUUUCUUUUGAGAAUUUUAACCUGAAUUCUUCAGCUGCGCUCAAAAAUAAAACAGCUUUUUGUUUGUUUGUUUGUUUUUGUUUUGUUUUGUUACAUAAAAAUGAGUCAUCAUUGCAUUUAAUUCCUGGUAAAUGGACAUGCACUAUGAAAUGAACUUCUCCUUUGUUCUCAAUUAGGCCCAAAAGUACAGCCAAAAUGCAUUUGGUUUUAGACUGUGAUGUUAGUGUAUAUUAUUCUUCCUGCACAAAUAUGUUUACUUACUUCUCAUCCAUCUUCCUUAUUGGUCAUUCCUAUGGCUUUAGCUAACUCACUAAAUGUCGCUGAAGUAGAAUUAUCAGUUGACCGAACGUCUUGAUCUAGUAUAACAGUGUAACUGAAAGGCUAUGUAAUGCUAACUGUUUAGUCAGCUGGCCAAAUGACAUCCUCUGUUAUUUCUUGUCCUUUGAUUUGAAUGCAGUGAACUCAGUUUUAUAAGUAGGAAAUUAACUAUGCAUACUAUUUACACACCACUUGUAGAAAAGCUUAGCAUAAAGAGGUCACCUGGGCUGCAACUUAAUAUUUGAUAGUAUUGCUUGUGUUAUAUUGUAUGUAACUAUGUGAAUACCUUGAAAACACAGUUAUAAGACUGGAGAUGUAUAGUGAUACUACUUCUGGAUCACAUCUCCAGGCUUGUUUGAGCACUGGUGGUAUAAAGCACUGAAGAAGGCAACUAAAUAGGCUUUAUCUCUUUCAAGAUUCAAUACUUUCAGUCCUACAAUCAAAUGAAGAAAAAAAUGCUAAAUCCACUUAUUUGGGUAUUCCACAGACAUCUCCCAUAAAAUAAAACUAAACCUGAUAUUACCAGUAUGUUUAGUCAAAAAAAAGAGUAUAAAAGAAGUGUGAAGCUGCCACUCUGUGUUGUCACACAGCAAAACAAGGAAUGAUGCUUUCUUAAGGGGUGUUUACUGAUCAUCACAGAGAAGCUACAUGAAAAGUAAUUGGAGAUGUUCUCAUUUCUGUGAAAGAUUUAAGUUGCAUUUGACAUAUUCUUCAUGAAACAACUGUGCAUCUUUACAGUCCAUUAAUUGACAGGGUGUAAAGUGCUUGCACAAGUUGCUGCUUGCUACCAUCAUACAUGAGCGCUUUCCAUGCAGACUGGAGAAUCUCAUCGAAGCAUCAUUUCAGGGCACACAAGAAAAUGUCUGUGUCUCUGAGGGACAUCUUCAAGCUCUAAAAAAAUAUGAGAAUUCCAUCUGUGUAAACUGUACAGCAUUUACCUGAAUAAAUUUGUUCUUUUGAGUUCUAGACCUCGCUUUGGCCCUUUUGUAGUGGUCCAGCUGCGUCUCCUCCUCUAUAUUCCCCAGUCUGCAAACAGAGAGAGAACUGUCCAUGAGCAGAUAGUGGCUCCCCAGCCAUCAGUUUGUAAGGCAUAGAUAAACAAUUUGUCUUUAAUUUCUGACACCAAGCUUGUAAUCUUUAAUUCCCCAGAACAUCUGUUCAAACUACUUGGUGAUUCACAUUCUUACAUAUCAUCAGUUCUAGGUGUAGCUGCUCUUAUGUACAAUAUCAGACAUCAAGACCUCUGCAACUUUAAAAGCUAAAGCAGCUUUCUAAGACCAUCCUUUUAGGCUGUGUGGAAUAAAUUGAAUAAAAUGAGAGGUCUAGGUCAACUGAUCUUCCCAAGAAAUACUAAGACAAGAAGAGUAUACAGUGCUGAAAAGAUCCUAGAUAAAGAUGCACUUUCCUAAAAUGCUUAUUUUAUUGUUUUCACUGGGAGAUCACAGAAAACAUGGAAAAUGUGAUCACAGAUGCACUAUAACCUUAAUUCUGUUUUAAUGCAAGAGCAGGUUAAUGACAAUUUGUUUUACAGUCAGGGAUCACUCUUCCACUUUUCCUAAGAGUUCAUCACAUAGCUGGUAUCUGAUAUCUGUGUGCCCUUGGGAAACAGAGGAUCCUCCUUUGAGAUAUACCUGAAGGUCAAUGACUUGUGAGUCCAAGCCCUUUGCAGGACUGGUUUCUACAGGUAUGACAUAAUAGGUCUGGUAUUGUAACAGGUACCAAUACACAAAGAAAUAUUGACAUGUUGGUUUGCUCUGAUUAUCACUAGAAAAGCAGAACUUUUUCAUUUCAGCUCUCUUAAGCUCAUAAUAUAUUAAUAGCAGGUUAACAUCUUAAGUGCAUUUGGAAUACGAUGAAAGAGAUGAAAAUAGAAUAAUAAGAGGAGGGGUGCUCUGACAGACCUUAAAAUCUAUCUGAGACUUCUGGAUAAAACACAGUUUAGGACAAGGCAAGUCCUUUGUGCAAGAACAGGGAGGUUUCAGACUUCAGAAGAUUCAGGCAGCAGCUACAGCCAGAGUAUUUGCUGGUUCUGGACUUGUCCUGCUUAAUGAAAUGGCAGUCACUUUCUGUUAUAACUGUUUCUUAUUAAUUGAAUCCAUUAUCUGCAUAAUAAAAUCAUCUGUCAACAAUAA